ACGCGAUCAGUCCACAGAGCGUGCAGUCGAGCGGGGAAAAGGUAGCUUGCUACCUGACCUAGCGGCGGACGGGUGAGUAAUGCUUAGGAAUCUGCCUAUUAGUGGGGGACAACAUUCCGAAAGGAAUGCUAAUACCGCAUACGCCCUACGGGGGAAAGCAGGGGAUCUUCGGACCUUGCGCUAAUAGAUGAGCCUAAGUCAGAUUAGCUAGUUGGUGGGGUAAAGGCCUACCAAGGCGACGAUCUGUAGCGGGUCUGAGAGGAUGAUCCGCCACACUGGGACUGAGACACGGCCCAGACUCCUACGGGAGGCAGCAGUGGGGAAUAUUGGACAAUGGGCGAAAGCCUGAUCCAGCCAUGCCGCGUGUGUGAAGAAGGCCUUUUGGUUGUAAAGCACUUUAAGCGAGGAGGAGGCUACCGAGAUUAAUACUCUUGGAUAGUGGACGUUACUCGCAGAAUAAGCACCGGCUAACUCUGUGCCAGCAGCCGCGGUAAUACAGAGGGUGCGAGCGUUAAUCGGAUUUACUGGGCGUAAAGCGUGCGUAGGCGGCUUUUUAAGUCGGAUGUGAAAUCCCUGAGCUUAACUUAGGAAUUGCAUUCGAUACUGGGAAGCUAGAGUAUGGGAGAGGAUGGUAGAAUUCCAGGUGUAGCGGUGAAAUGCGUAGAGAUCUGGAGGAAUACCGAUGGCGAAGGCAGCCAUCUGGCCUAAUACUGACGCUGAGGUACGAAAGCAUGGGGAGCAAACAGGAUUAGAUACCCUGGUAGUCCAUGCCGUAAACGAUGUCUACUAGCCGUUGGGGCCUUUGAGGCUUUAGUGGCGCAGCUAACGCGAUAAGUAGACCGCCUGGGGAGUACGGUCGCAAGACUAAAACUCAAAUGAAUUGACGGGGGCCCGCACAAGCGGUGGAGCAUGUGGUUUAAUUCGAUGCAACGCGAAGAACCUUACCUGGUCUUGACAUAGUAAGAACUUUCCAGAGAUGGAUUGGUGCCUUCGGGAACUUACAUACAGGUGCUGCAUGGCUGGCGUCAGCUCGUGUCUUGAGAUGUUGAGUUAAUUCCCGCAACGAGCGCAACCCUUUUCCUUAUUUGCCAGCGGGUGAAUUCGGGAACUUUUAGGAUACUGCCGUUUACUAACGUGUAGGUAGCUGGUAGACUAAGU
This 1158-nucleotide ribosomal RNA is filed under the name Acinetobacter sp. Mci. Its description in RNAcentral is "bacterial SSU rRNA". It matches the Rfam family "Bacterial small subunit ribosomal RNA", at positions 33 to 1190 of the family's 1533-position model. The record is from RNAcentral. Lineage: Bacteria; Pseudomonadati; Pseudomonadota; Gammaproteobacteria; Moraxellales; Moraxellaceae.